Molecule: ribosomal RNA, 253 nt
Filed under: uncultured bacterium
Lineage: Bacteria
Description: partial 16S ribosomal RNA
Rfam family: Bacterial small subunit ribosomal RNA
Source: RNAcentral
UACGGGGGGGGUAAGCGUUGUCCGGAAUUACUGGGCGUAAAGGGCUCGUAGGCGGCCAACUAAGUCAGACGUGAAAUCCCUCAGCUUAACUGGGGAACUGCGUCUGAUACUGGAUGGCUUGGAUUUGGGAGAGGAAUGCGGAAUUCCAGGUGUAGCGGUGAAAUGCGUAGAUAUCUGGAGGAACACCGGUGGCGAAGGCGGCAUUCUGGACCAAUAUUGACGCUGAGACGCGAAAGCGUGGGGAGCAAACAGG